GACAUACUAAGAACUUUCCAGAGAUGGAUUGGUGCCUUCGGGAACUUAGAUACAGGUGCUGCAUGGCUGUCGUCAGCUCGUGUCGUGAGAUGUUGGGUUAAGUCCCGCAACGAGCGCAACCCUUUUCCUUAUUUGCCAGCGGGUUAAGCCGGGAACUUUAAGGAUACUGCCAGUGACAAACUGGAGGAAGGCGGGGACGACGUCAAGUCAUCAUGGCCCUUACGGCCAGGGCUACACACGUGCUACAAUGGUCGGUACAAAGGGUUGCUACCUCGCGAGAGGAUGCUAAUCUCAAAAAGCCGAUCGUAGUCCGGAUCGCAGUCUGCAACUCGACUGCGUGAAGUCGGAAUCGCUAGUAAUCGCGGAUCAGAAUGCCGCGGUGAAUACGGUUCCCGGGCCUUGUACACACCGCCCGUCACACCAUGGGAGUUUGUUGCACCAGAAGUAGGUAGUCUAACCGCAAGGAGGACGCUUACCACGGUGUGGCCGAUGACUGGGGUGAAGUCGUAACAAGGUAGGCGUAGAUGA
Molecule: ribosomal RNA, 528 nt
Filed under: uncultured bacterium
Lineage: Bacteria
Description: bacterial SSU rRNA
Rfam family: Bacterial small subunit ribosomal RNA
Source: RNAcentral